This 484-nucleotide ribosomal RNA is filed under the name uncultured bacterium. Its description in RNAcentral is "partial 16S ribosomal RNA". It matches the Rfam family "Bacterial small subunit ribosomal RNA", at positions 29 to 507 of the family's 1533-position model. The record is from RNAcentral.
AUUGAACGCUGGCGGCAUGCCUAACACAUGCCAGUCGAACGGCAGCGCGGGGGCAACCCUGGCGGCGAGUGGCGGACGGGUGAGGAAUGCAUAGGAAUCUGCCCGGUUGUGGGGGAUAACGUAGGGAAACUUACGCUAAUACCGCAUACGACCUUCGGGUGAAAGUGGGGGACCUUCGGGCCUCACGCGAUCGGAUGAGCCUAUGCCCGAUUAGCUAGUUGGCGGGGUAAGAGCCCACCAAGGCGACGAUCGGUAGCUGGUCUGAGAGGAUGAUCAGCCACACUGGGACUGAGACACGGCCCAGACUCCUACGGGAGGCAGCAGUGGGGAAUAUUGGACAAUGGGCGCAAGCCUGAUCCAGCAAUGCCGCGUGUGUGAAGAAGGCCUUCGGGUUGUAAAGCACUUUUGUUCGGGAAGAAAUCCGUGUGGUUAAUACCCGUACGGGAUGACGGUACCGAAAGAAUAAGCACCGGCUAACUUCGUG